GUCAAUUCUCAGCCUUUUGGCUAAGACCCAGUAUAGGAUCUGUUCUUAACAAUUUAAUAUCAGAUAUGUCCUCUGUCUGAGGACAACACAUUAAAUAGUUUUUUGGAGUGGGGAGAUGGAAUGAGAAUUUCCUCCAUUGGCUCCACACAUUGACCUGGUAUCCAGUACCUCCAGGAAGGGUGCACCCUUU
This is a small nuclear RNA of Vulpes vulpes (red fox), 190 nucleotides long. Its record names the gene U2. It matches the Rfam family "U2 spliceosomal RNA". Rfam says of the family: U2 is a small nuclear RNA (snRNA) component of the spliceosome (involved in pre-mRNA splicing). Complementary binding between U2 snRNA (in an area lying towards the 5' end but 3' to hairpin I) and the branchpoint sequence (BPS) of the intron results the bulging out of an unpaired adenosine, on the BPS, which initiates a nucleophilic attack at the intronic 5' splice site, thus starting the first of two transesterification reactions that mediate splicing. NCBI's taxonomy places the organism in Eukaryota, Metazoa, Chordata, Mammalia, Carnivora, Canidae. The record is from Ensembl.